GGAUUAGAUACCCUGGUAGUCCACGCCGUAAACGAUGAGAACUAGGUGUAAGAAUUUAUUUUUGUGCCGUAGCUAACGCGUUAAGUUCUCCGCCUGGGGAGUACGGCCGCAAGGCUAAAACUCAAAGGAAUUGACGGGGGCCCGCACAAGCGGUGGAGCAUGUGGUUUAAUUCGAUGCAACGCGAAAAACCUUACCUACCCUUGACAUCCCUGAAAUCGACUAGUAGUAGUCGAGUGCCUUCGGGAAUCAGGUGACAGGUGCUGCAUGGCUGUCGUCAGCUCGUGCCG
Molecule: ribosomal RNA, 288 nt
Filed under: uncultured bacterium
Lineage: Bacteria
Description: partial 16S ribosomal RNA
Rfam family: Bacterial small subunit ribosomal RNA
Source: RNAcentral